This 433-nucleotide ribosomal RNA is filed under the name uncultured bacterium. RNAcentral describes it as "partial 16S ribosomal RNA". It matches the Rfam family "Bacterial small subunit ribosomal RNA", at positions 29 to 507 of the family's 1533-position model. The record is from RNAcentral.
AACGAACGCUGGCGGCAUGCCUAACACAUGCAAGUCGAACGAGACCUUCGUGUCUAGUUGCGCACGGGUGCGUAACGCGUCGGAACCUGCCCUUAGGCUCGGAAUAACUCCCCGAAAGGGGUGCUAAUACCGGAUAAUGUCCUCGGAUCAAAGAUUGAUCGUCUUUGUAUGGGCCCGCGUUGGUUUAGCUUGUUGGGAGGGUAAAAGCCUACCAAGGCUACGAUCCAUAGCUGGUCUGAGAGGAUGAUCAGCCACACUGAGACUGAGACACGGCCCAGACUCCUACGGGAGGGAGCAGUGGGUAAUAUUGGACAAUGGGGGAAGGCCUGAUCCAGCAAUGCCGCGUGAGUGAUGAAGGCCUUAGGGUUGUAAAGCUCUUUUACCCGGGAUGAUAAUGACAGUACCGGGAGAAUAAGCUCCGGCUAACUCCGUG